AAAAAAAGAAGUUUUAAUAAGUACAUGAUUAACCAUUUUUACAGUAUAGUAAAAUAGUUUUUAGUUUUCAGUUGAGGAAGAAUUUUAUGUUAAUGUUAAUGCAAAAGGUACAAAUAUUGACAGUUGAACCAUCACCACCUCCACAGCAACCUUAUCUCAAGCAUUCAAUUGUAUUUUAAGAUAUCUUUAUUCAAAUCAAGUGUGACUACUAUACCAAAAGACUGUAGAAUAGACCAAUCAACUAACCCAUCAGUACUUGCAAAGUCUUCUUUUCUGUUAGCUCGAAAAUUGAGUUCUAAAAUACCAUUAUCCACAUAACUACUAUAUCGAAGCACAAACUAAUGGAUUGAUCA
Molecule: non-coding RNA, 353 nt
Organism: Hydra vulgaris (swiftwater hydra)
Lineage: Eukaryota; Metazoa; Cnidaria; Hydrozoa; Anthoathecata; Hydridae
Source: RefSeq, a predicted model, not a curated record